This is a long non-coding RNA of Columba livia (rock pigeon), 3842 nucleotides long. RefSeq lists it as uncharacterized. Lineage: Eukaryota; Metazoa; Chordata; Aves; Columbiformes; Columbidae. The transcript is spliced from 3 exons. The record is from RefSeq and is a predicted model, not a curated record.
CAAGUUCAUCACUGGGCUUCCGUUGUCGCAAUGCAAAAGAAUCACAGGAUGGAGACAGAAGCUGCGGCAAAACAAGCUAUUGUCUCCUACAGAAAUUAGCACUUUGCUCAGAGUAUACGUCCCUCAGACCAAAGCCUGCUCUUUACUUCAUCCUUCUGUUUCAUUAUAGUAAGUCAGACUAAAAGAAUCAGCCAAACCUUCUCAAAAAUGCUCUAGUGUAGUUGCUGAUUAAACCUUACUUUAAAUACAGCGUUCACCAGAAAGAAACAAAGAAGUGUAAGGAUCAUAAAAGGAGGUAAUAUCCGUUAGCAGAUAAUAGUGCAGUCUCACAAAUGCCAACUUUCCAAGCAUGUGCACAUUGUUCAAGAUUUAAACCCAGUCUUUUAACAAACACCAACCUUAAAGCUUUAAAAUGUUUCCUUCUUGCAUUGUUUGAAGUGAACUGAGCAUCUGAAAAAAAUCCUCCCUGGGACUUGCUGUUACUGAUUUUGCCUACUAAAACACAGUAUCAGCAUAGGCCUCUGUUUUGCAUUUGUAUGUUAAAAAAACAUGGAAAUGGCUGCAGGAGGUCACAAUGAAGAUCCAGCCAUUCCAGAAAUGGCCAACAGUAGAACACAGGCCACAACUCAAUAGGCCAGACAAAUUCUGAUGGCAAACUCUUCCAGUUCCUAACAGCCUCAGGCACUUGCCAGCCCAAGGUGAUAUGUCUGCUUAAUAGCCUUUGGUGGUUUGUUUGCUUGUUUAAUGGAUUUGUCUUAUUUCUGUUUUAUCAACGUGGAAACAGUUUGGCAUUGAUCACUCUGCAUGGCAGCAAGUUCCACAUUCACGUAUCCAUUGUUUGAAAAGGUCUUCUCUGCAAAGCUACUCCUGCUGACCCUUGUUUCCUGCCGUUCUGGAGUCAAACUAGCUGAUCCUGCAACUGAGCACAGCACAAUUUUCCUUCUUUUAUCAAAUCACCUUGUACUGAGCAUGGAGUUAAGAGUACUGACUCACCUGAGAACAGCCCCCACUCCACCUCUACCUGAGCCACUAAAAGCUGCCUUCUCACCAUCAGUCUCUAUCAUUCUGCAGCUAUUUCUCUGAAGAAAAAUAUUUGGCAGAAGUGGUUCCAUAUACAACCUCAACACUAUCCAUACAGUCAUCUUUUGUUGGAAUAACUCCUUCUACAAUGUUAAUAAAUACCCAUUCUAAUAUUUUGAGACCUCAGGUGAGUGUGUUAAACAAGCAAGUAGUUCAUUGCAUGCUUUGUCUCUACUUUGCUUAUAGAAAUGGGUCUCAGAACAUACUUUACACUAAUUCUGCACUGUAGUACAUGUAAAUUAUUGAUGAAUUAAAUCUAACUUAUCACAAGGAUAGUGACAGUUUUUCAUCUUUAAAAAUAAAGCUGGGUAUAUAAGCCAUUUUUUUGCACAGUGUUGCAAUGUGAAGAUGGCAACUGAGAAUGCCUUGUUUUCCAGUAUUUUUAGGUCUUAAUUUUUCAUAUGAUCUCUUCCGUGUUCCCUCUGUGUUUUCACACUUCCUAAAAUAGAUCACUGUACUGGUUAGAUACGAACAUACUAAUGUAUAAUGCUGACAUUCCAGAAAGAUCUGAAUAGCUUUUUCUUUAUCUUUUUUUUUGUUUUAAUUUAAGUAGUUGGUAGCAGAGCUGAUAGAAGGUUAUUUAAUGUGAUAAGAAGCCUGUGAUACCUUUUCAUAGUAUUUAUGUUCUCUCCAUGUGACCUGUUUUCAGAAGAAUCUCUUCAAAUGGCUUGUCAACAUUCACAGUCUCUACGCUGCAAAUUACUAUUUAUGUUAUUUAAUGUGAGAGUAUAUAUCAUAAAAUAACUAAAAUUGAAUGUUUUCAAGUGCGAUUGGUUAAUAUUACUUGUACUGCUGUGACUUGUAGUAUUACUUUUGAAUGUCAGAAAAUAUACAUUGGAUGCUUGUACAUGAAUAAUGAAGAUUGAUGGAAGCUGAUUUGUUCAUUUUUGUAUUUUAAGUUGGAGAGUAAUGUAACAGUCAUUAAAUAUCCCUAAUAUGCUUCCAUUUAAAACAAAAGCCUGAAAGAAAAUAUUUGGCAUAAUACAUACUAAUAAAUCCAAUGGCACAGUAAAUAGUAUUGUCCAUAUUGCCUGUACUAGCCCGUGCAAUUAGAGCUUGUCAGGCUGCUGGGGUUGGGGUGCAAGGUUACAGAAAGAGGUGGUCUGGCCAUUUCUCACCUGUCCUUGUACACUUGCAAGGUGUUGGAGACAUGGGCACAAGUGCAUCAUCUGCUGCAUCUCUAGACCCUUAUCAAAAGAGUAAAUGUGGGGAGUCUUGUUCUCUUGAAUGCAGCUUCCCCUAUGGAUGGGUCACACUGGAAAAGGAGUUGUCUCAAAUCAUGGUGGUGCACAAAAGACCCUCUGAGGUGUCACCACUGGUGGUCUGAGCAGUUGAAUGCAGGUGCUUCCCAGUGCUGCACCAGGCCCUGCGUGGGCAGGACUUUGGUACUUCAGUGCAUGCAGAAGGCAGAAGGCACAAAGCAAUGGGCAAGUCUGCAGAUCACGGCAGAUACUGGACUCCCAUUGAAGGUCCCACUGUUUCCAAUUUAUUUUCGUAGUAUUGUCAUCUGUUAAAUAGACCAAGUUUAAAUUACAAAUUAUUCCAAAUGAUUACAAAUUCUUCCAAAUGAUUUUUCCCUUGUCUAGUAACACAUUUAUGAAGUCCAACUGAAAAAUGCAUAUUGGGUUAACUUAUAUAAUUAAUAAAUUACUGUGAUUAUAUAUUUUAUAGUAUACAAAUAAAUUUUUAUGAAUUUUUCUGUAAAGGAGCAAUCCAUGAAUCUAAUCAUACAUGGCCUUUGCUAUUCUUAGACUGCAAGCCUAGGGCAGAUUCUCAACAGGAUACAAAAUUUGGCUUAGCAAUGGAAUCUGUAAUCUGUGCUUGAACAUUGUUGCACAAUUAUAUUCGCUCUGCUUCAGGUAGUCUCUUAAGUGUUUUAAGAAUUCAUCUUACGGUAGUAUACAAGUAUACAAAUGAGAUUUAUAAGUGACUAAAUAAUUAGUGGAAACAAAUAAAUGAAAAUAUCAAAUACUGGUAGCUGCAUUUAAAUUAUAAAUGCUGACAGCAGCUCUCAGAACUGAGGAAAUGAAGAAUAAGGAGGAGGAAGACAACCACUGACUACAGUAAACUCAAAAGUAAAAGGCAGUAAUCUAACCAGGGAGCUAGUAGCACAUUCUAGCUGGUCUGUGCAAAUGAACAGUAUUCUAUUAAAAGGACAUUAUAUACAGUAACAAUUUCCAAAUAUAUAUGUGCAUAUAUAGAAUAAUACAUAUGUCUGUAUGUAUAUAUGAAUUAUCCAAAAGAGUAGUAUAUUACAUUUUACUAAUAUGUACACUGUUUAGUGUUUUGGGCUACGUCUAGAGCUAUCUGCUGAGAUGUGCUGGGCUGCUGUCUCACCAUACACACGGGUGUCUUUACAGGAGCUCUCAAAUACCUGGGCACAGCCCAGGUUCUAUCUAACCUGGUUCUAUCUAACCUGGCCUUUUCUCCCAACACAGUGCCAUGGUCCAUCAUUUUAUAUGUACAAAUCCAUGAUUUAGUUAUGAAAUAUUUAAAACAAAACAAACCAGUUUGCUCUAGUGUAGUUUAUCCUGACUUUUUGAAUGUUCAUAUGAAGUUUAAAAGAGUCGUCCAACAUAAUAAGCUGAUGAAAAAUAAGUUAACAUUUUGGACGAAGGAAAACACUGUAAGGAAGGCUGAGCUUUUGUUUCAACAUGUAUGUACUGAAAGUACUUCAUUGUCAUAAUGUCAACUGGGACAUCACCGCAAUUUUGGCAGAAGUAAAAUACGUAUGGAUACAUUUUCACUGUGCAGUGCAUGAA